CUGCGUCUCAGCCAAUCAGGUUCGCCAGGGCCGCAAUCAAAUACACCGGUGCGCUCUCCUCACACAUACUGGUGAGGAGACAGGCUACAGGACGCUGCUAACACGAAGCCGCGUACCGUCGCUGCAGACAUCUGGGUUCUAGCGGGGACUGAAUUACGAGGGGAAUUGGCCAGGUGUGGCCGGUUGGGGACAACCCCCAUGCUACGAGGCGAGCUAGACCCAAAGGGAACCGAACAACUUCAACAUCCUCCUGCGGUCUGGUAGGGGUGUUGGCAGCCAGUUCUCUCCCACCUAUGCACUGGUCACUUUCUGUUCACAUAUGAACUCUGUUGCGCGCGAUCCUGGACAAUUUCCACAUAUACCAUGGACUCUGGGUUCCUAUAAAAUGGACAUUCGCUCCACACAUUGUUGUGGCCACUGACCCUUUAUUGUGAAUACUGUGAUUUUGUGCUUUGUGUGAUCUUAAGGGCAUUUACACCCUGGACUGUGCUGAACCACUGUUGAAUUGUGAUUUCUUUAUUUGUAAGAACCAAAUGAACUAGAUUGAAAGACUGAAGUGCACUUCAUCAA
Molecule: non-coding RNA, 570 nt
Organism: Doryrhamphus excisus (bluestripe pipefish)
Lineage: Eukaryota; Metazoa; Chordata; Actinopteri; Syngnathiformes; Syngnathidae
Source: RefSeq, a predicted model, not a curated record